Molecule: long non-coding RNA, 241 nt
Organism: Haliotis rufescens (red abalone)
Lineage: Eukaryota; Metazoa; Mollusca; Gastropoda; Lepetellida; Haliotidae
Exons: 3
Source: RefSeq, a predicted model, not a curated record
UGGAUGGGUUCAUACGUGUCUCAUCAGGUACAACUCUUCACAGACCAAGUGCAUAAUUAAGGCCAAGGUUCACAGAUCCCAAGCUGUGACAGAGAAGCCCCAUGAAGCAUGGGUUGGUCUGGAUAAGAGCGGCAGGGUGGAGUGUGCACACUGUACAUGCAUGGCAGGAUUGGGUGAAGUCUGUUCACAUGUUGCUGGUAUCCUAUUUAAAGUGGAGGCCUGUGUACGAUUUGAGUACAAC